GACGAACGCUGGCGGCGUGCUUAACACAUGCAAGUCGAACGGAAAGGCCCUGCUUGCAGGGUACUCGAGUGGCGAACGGGUGAGUAACACGUGGGUGAUCUGCCCUGCACUUCGGGAUAAGCCUGGGAAACUGGGUCUAAUACCGGAUAGGAGCCAUUUUUAGUGUGAUGGUUGGAAAGUUUUUUCGGUGUAGGAUGAGCUCGCGGCCUAUCAGCUUGUUGGUGGGGUAAUGGCCUACCAAGGCGGCGACGGGUAGCCGGCCUGAGAGGGUGGACGGCCACAUUGGGACUGAGAUACGGCCCAGACUCCUACGGGAGGCAGCAGUGGGGAAUAUUGCACAAUGGGCGCAAGCCUGAUGCAGCGACGCCGCGUGGGGGAUGACGGCCUUCGGGUUGUAAACUCCUUUCGCUACGGACGAAGCUUUUUGUGACGGUACCUAGAUAAGAAGCACCGGCUAACUACGUG
This 465-nucleotide ribosomal RNA is filed under the name uncultured bacterium. RNAcentral describes it as "partial 16S ribosomal RNA". It matches the Rfam family "Bacterial small subunit ribosomal RNA", at positions 28 to 507 of the family's 1533-position model. The record is from RNAcentral.